AUGUCUAUGCGCUAUGUUUCAGAGCAAAGAGACCUGCACCCCUCAUGAAUACAGCACUUCCUGCAUUCUGUAGCACCGAAUCCAUGAUUUUCUUUUCAUCUGUGUGAGGUGCAGAGCACAGCCAGACCUGGGUCAAAAAUUCUUCCUGAAUGAAAUGCGCAGGGCACUUCAACAAAACUAUAAUUUUACUCAUGGCAAAAGUGAUCAGUGGCAGAAAUAAUGGUGUUUGAAGCCUGCUCGAAUGAAGAAAUGAAAAGAUGACAAACCAGCUCUGCAUCACUUUAUUAUACUAAACUUACAAGUAAAGGUUUAUGGUUUAACUGGGUAAUAACAUGAAAUGUGUUGAAAAAUGUUCAUGUAUCAAAUAUGACUUGCUUGUUCCUGAAAUAAAAGAGAAAUAUUUUAUUAUUGCA
This is a long non-coding RNA of Xenopus tropicalis (tropical clawed frog), 413 nucleotides long. RefSeq lists it as uncharacterized. The record is from RefSeq and is a predicted model, not a curated record. The transcript has 2 exons. Lineage: Eukaryota; Metazoa; Chordata; Amphibia; Anura; Pipidae.